This 585-nucleotide ribosomal RNA is filed under the name Clostridioides difficile. Its description in RNAcentral is "bacterial LSU rRNA". It matches the Rfam family "Bacterial large subunit ribosomal RNA", at positions 268 to 856 of the family's 2925-position model. The record is from RNAcentral. Lineage: Bacteria; Bacillati; Bacillota; Clostridia; Peptostreptococcales; Peptostreptococcaceae.
CCCAAACCAAUAAAGUUUUCUUUAUUGGGGUUGCGGACAUAUCAUAACGAAGAGGUAUCGUAAUUGAAGAGGUUUGGAAAGACCCACCACAGAAGGUAAUAGUCCUGUAUGUUAAACGAGAAGACUUCAGAUAUGAUCCAGAGUACCACGGGACACGUGAAACCCUGUGGGAAGCAGGAGGGACCACCCUCCAAGGCUAAAUACUACCUAGUGACCGAUAGCGUAUAGUACCGUGAGGGAAAGGUGAAAAGAACCCCGGGAGGGGAGUGAAAUAGAACCUGAAACCCUGCACUUACAAGCUGUGGAAGCACAUUUCUUGUGUGACCGCGUACUUUUUGUAGAACGGGCCAACGAGUUACGUUAAGUAGCAAGGUUAAGCACUUAAGGUGCGGAGCCGUAGCGAAAGCGAGUUUUAACUGAGCGUUCAGUUACUUGACGUAGACCCGAAACCGGGCGACCUACCCAUGAGCAGGAUGAAGCGAAAGUAAAAUUUCGUGGAGGUCCGAACCCACGAGCGUUGAAAAGCUCGGGGAUGACUUGUGGGUAGCGGUGAAAUUCCAAUCGAGCCCGGAGAUAGCUGGUUCU